Phascolarctos cinereus (koala) is the source of this 128-nucleotide small nuclear RNA. NCBI's taxonomy places the organism in Eukaryota, Metazoa, Chordata, Mammalia, Diprotodontia, Phascolarctidae. The record is from Ensembl.
UUAUGGUAUGAAAGGAAAGCAGGCCAGAAUGCCUUUUGAUUAGGGCAGGAAAAGUCCUAUUGACCUUUACAACGCGUAUACAGUUAAGACUUUGCUGUCUACUCUGUGGCAUCUAACAAUGUCAACAC